RNAcentral lists this ribosomal RNA (452 nucleotides) under uncultured bacterium. Its description in RNAcentral is "bacterial SSU rRNA". It matches the Rfam family "Bacterial small subunit ribosomal RNA", at positions 29 to 524 of the family's 1533-position model. The record is from RNAcentral.
AGCGAACGCUGGCGGCAGGCUUAACACAUGCAAGUCGAGCGCUCGUAGCAAUACGGGAGCGGCAGACGGGUGAGUAACACGUGGGAACGUACCUUUUGGUUCGGAACAACACAGGGAAACUUGUGCUAAUACCGGAUAAGCCCUUACGGGGAAAGAUUUAUCGCCGAAAGAUCGGCCCGCGUCUGAUUAGCUAGUUGGUGAGGUAAUGGCUCACCAAGGCGACGAUCAGUAGCUGGUCUGAGAGGAUGAUCAGCCACAUUGGGACUGAGACACGGCCCAAACUCCUACGGGAGGCAGCAGUGGGGAAUAUUGGACAAUGGGCGCAAGCCUGAUCCAGCCAUGCCGCGUGAGUGAUGAAGGCCUUAGGGUCGUAAAGCUCUUUUGUGCGGGAAGAUAAUGACUGUACCGCAAGAAUAAGCCCCGGCUAACUUCGUGCCAGCCGCCGCUGUAAC